GGCUCAGGACGAACGCUGGCGGCGUGCUUAACACAUGCAAGUCGAGCGGUAAGGCCCUUCGGGGUACACGAGCGGCGAACGGGUGAGUAACACGUGGGUGAUCUGCCUCGCACUCUGGGAUAAGCCUGGGAAACUGGGUCUAAUACCGGAUAUGAACAUGGUCUGCAUGGAUUGUGUUGGAAAGGUUUACUGGUGCGAGAUGGGCCCGCGGCCUAUCAGCUUGUUGGUGGGGUAAUGGCCUACCAAGGCGACGACGGGUAGCCGACCUGAGAGGGUGACCGGCCACACUGGGACUGAGACACGGCCCAGACUCCUACGGGAGGCAGCAGUGGGGAAUAUUGCACAAUGGGCGAAAGCCUGAUGCAGCGACGCCGCGUGAGGGAUGACGGCCUUCGGGUUGUAAACCUCUUUCGACAGGGACGAAGCGCAAGUGACGGUACCUGUAGAAGAAGCACCGGCCAACUACGUGCCAGCAGCCGCGGUAAUACGUAGGGUGCGAGCGUUGUCCGGAAUUACUGGGCGUAAAGAGCUUGUAGGCGGUCUGUCACGUCGAUUGUGAAAACUUGGGGCUCAACCCUAAGCUUGCAGUCGAUACGGGCAGACUAGAGUACUUCAGGGGAGACUGGAAUUCCUGGUGUAGCGGUGAAAUGCGCAGAUAUCAGGAG
Molecule: ribosomal RNA, 665 nt
Filed under: Nocardia sp. S4.ACT.013
Lineage: Bacteria; Bacillati; Actinomycetota; Actinomycetes; Mycobacteriales; Nocardiaceae
Description: bacterial SSU rRNA
Rfam family: Bacterial small subunit ribosomal RNA
Source: RNAcentral